Populus euphratica (Euphrates poplar) is the source of this 238-nucleotide long non-coding RNA. RefSeq lists it as uncharacterized. The record is from RefSeq and is a predicted model, not a curated record. The transcript has 2 exons. Lineage: Eukaryota; Viridiplantae; Streptophyta; Magnoliopsida; Malpighiales; Salicaceae.
AAACCCAAAUGGUUAGAUUUUGUACACCGAAAGAGGUUGGGCCGAGCUCCAUAGGAUACUUAUGAAUCGAGUAAAUAGAUGGACGUAGAAUUAAAUGGGCAUGGACCCAUAGGAUUGAGUAGGCUCAGACCCAGAGUGAUACAGCCAAUCAAGAAACAAUAUUGAUAAGAUCCAAUCUGGAUGAUUGAUACAAUUUUAUGCAAGAAAGUUCGCUAGAUUCUCUUGUUAUUUUAGAGUG